CACACCCGUGCGGGAGAGUCCCGGUCGCUCUGUGCCGGGACGCCGAAGGAGCAAGCUCUCCCCAUAAACUCUCAGGCCCCCAACCGCCGGGUCAGG
Molecule: non-coding RNA, 96 nt
Filed under: Frankia sp. AcoPraII.1
Lineage: Bacteria; Bacillati; Actinomycetota; Actinomycetes; Frankiales; Frankiaceae
Description: Glycine
Rfam family: Glycine riboswitch aptamer
About the family: This family represents the bacterial glycine riboswitch.
Source: RNAcentral